CAAAAGGCAAUGACGGAGAAAAGUACGCCACCUUUCUUUUUUUAGGAAGAAAAUGCCCAGACUGAAAGCAUUUUUAAAAAGAAACGGCCGAAGUUCACCUCCCGAGCCGGUGCUUGGACCACUUUUGUGUAAAGGCAUACCGGUUUUUACCGUUAUCUGAAUGAAGUGAAUGUGCAUUUUUUGUGCGUUAAAAAGGGUGGUACCGCGAUAUCAGAAGCCUCGUCCCUUUC
This 230-nucleotide non-coding RNA is filed under the name Domibacillus iocasae. Its description in RNAcentral is "T-box sequence". It matches the Rfam family "T-box leader". From Rfam's summary of the family: Uncharged tRNA acts as the effector for transcription antitermination of genes in the T-box leader family. T-boxes are found upstream of many aminoacyl-tRNA synthetase genes and some amino acid biosynthetic genes usually in Gram-positive bacteria. Lineage: Bacteria; Bacillati; Bacillota; Bacilli; Caryophanales; Bacillaceae. The record is from RNAcentral.